This 301-nucleotide ribosomal RNA is filed under the name uncultured bacterium. RNAcentral's name for it is "partial 16S ribosomal RNA". It matches the Rfam family "Bacterial small subunit ribosomal RNA", at positions 509 to 807 of the family's 1533-position model. The record is from RNAcentral.
CAGCAGCCGCGGUAAUACAGAGGGUGCGAGCGUUAAUCGGAUUUACUGGGCGUAAAGCGUGCGUAGGCGGCUAAUUGAGUCGGAUGUGAAAUCCCCGAGCUUAACUUGGGAAUUGCAUUCGAUACUGGUUAGCUAGAGUGUGGGAGAGGAUGGUAGAAUUCCAGGUGUAGCGGUGAAAUGCGUAGAGAUCUGGAGGAAUACCGAUGGCGAAGGCAGCCAUCUGGCCUAACACUGACGCUGAGGUACGAAAGCAUGGGGAGCAAACAGGAUUAGAGACCCCCGUAGUCCCUGUCUAUUAUAC